AGCAGCAAAAGGGAAAGGAGAGGACCAAAGGGGGAGCUCUGAUUGCCAUCUUUUUCUUGAUUCCAUGCUUCGAGGUGAAGGACAGUACAACCUGUGAAGUAUAUGGGGGAUCUGUUCCCAUUAGUUCCCAUGGGUGGUGAAAUGUCAAGGAAGAGACCAGGUCUUUAUAAGAGCAAGAGUAUUAAGCCUUCAGGAUCAGAGGUACAGUAAACGGGAUCUGCACAAGGUACAAAUGGUUUGUGCAUACUUUUCUAGAGCAACACCUGGAAGCUGAUUUUUUUGUGAGCUGCCUUGGGUCCCACUCCAAGAGAAAGGUGGCAUAUCAAUCAAUCAAUCAAGAAUCUUUAAGUUGCCAUCACUUUCCAGGCGUGGUGAAAAUGAUUAAUCUUCAGGAACUUGUCACUGGAUACAGGAAAAGCUUCCAGGAACGACGACUGAUGGCAUUGGCAACCAUGAAGCAUUGGAAAAAGUUGAUCUACUGUCUUUAUAUGGAAUACAUCCUGAUCACUGCCAGCCUUGACUUGGAACCCUAUGAACAAAUAAUUGUGCAUGGUUCCUUUACUGCCCUCUUUAUUAUGUUGGUGUUGACAGCUUAUAGGUUCAUUAAUCUGCAACUGCCUCUAGCUUUUCAGUACUUUCUAGAGUUCUUUCCUGUUGAGUAGCUACUUAACUAACCUAUACAGUUCUUUCUUGUUAAAUAGCCACUUAACUGACUACUACAUGUUAUGAUUGUGCCUGUGUGUCUUUAUGACUGCAUCUGUGUGUCUGUAUGUAAUUUCACCAUAUUGUUUUGUAAGCAAAAUAGUUUUAAAGCAUGUGUUUUAACUGCUCCUCCCACUUUGUCUCCUGCACUCCUAUAUGAGUUUACCAGUUCUGAUCAUUGAGUUUUAAGUUGUGAAUUGUGGAGACUAAGGGCUGGUACAGACGGCCCUAAAUGCCGCACCUUUUUGGAGUGGAAAAAAGUCACCCUUUCUGCCGCUCUUCUGUGCUCCUGCAGUGUCUGAACACUGUGCUGCUGGAGCGCCACAAUGCUGCCUGCCAUCUGGUCAGGCGGGCAGCGUGCCGCUGGCUUGAAGGUGGAAUCAGGGCGUGCAUCAUCUAAAUGCCAUCCCCCAAGCCGGUGCUUACUGCCGGUCCAUUUCAGACCUAUGAGAUUUAUUUAGAUCACCUAGGUCUAACUAAAGGUGAAAGAAAGUGAAUGAGAUGCUGAAAGAUAGAAAAAAAUGGAGCGAGAGAAAAAACAAAACAUUAAUGUGCAUCAUUAAAAGUACUUAAAGGUGAGCUUAAUGGUGCAGUACAAAACUUAUUUCCAAAUUCUGAAGAGAAGAAUGAAUACACUAAAAGAGCUAACCUAAUUUAUAGAAUUACAAUCCACACCUUCACAGCUGUAGUGAAAAAACAGUGAAAUAAAACAGCUACAUAUGCCAUAUGUUCAGGUAAUGAUAUUUCCUUGACCUGUUGAAGCAUAUCUGGCUGAUCAAUGAAAAUUUCAAAACAAUGUUCCCAUUACCAUAAGGCUCGCUGUUCCACUGCUGAACUUUAGAGUGACCUUGGGUGCAUUCCCACUAUGGUUAAAGCGAAUUGCUGAUUGGGUUAUAUGACCGUUGUUUCCAUUUGAGUGGUGUUGAUUCUACUUUGAUCAAUUUCUGUUGUGAUAGAGGCAAAUGCAAAAACAAAAAACAAAACCAGUUUUCCAGACCCUAGUUUCCUAACGGUUCUUUUGAAAAUAAUCGAUUCCAAAAUGUGUUCAUCAAGUAGAAACGAGGGAUCUGAAUCAUGUCAUUCUGGAGAGGAGAGACUAAUGGCAGAGGAGUGUUUACCAUCCUUCCUGAGUUUUUGGUAAAUCCACCAUUCCUCCCCCCCCCCCCCCGCCAACUCAACGCUGCCUUUGUGCUUAUGGUGUGACCAAUGGGCACAUGAUUUUUUUAAAAAAUAAAAUUGGUAGAAGAUUCGAUUGAUUGGU
This is a long non-coding RNA of Sceloporus undulatus (fence lizard), 1963 nucleotides long. RefSeq lists it as uncharacterized. The record is from RefSeq and is a predicted model, not a curated record. Lineage: Eukaryota; Metazoa; Chordata; Lepidosauria; Squamata; Phrynosomatidae. The transcript has 6 exons.